CCGCCCGGGGCGCGGCCUCCAAGUCCCGGGUUUAUUCCGAUGUUAAUGUUAUCCGGCCCAAAGAGUAUUGGGACUACGAAUCACUUACGGUUCAAUGGGGGGAGCAGGAUGAUUACGAGGUGGUUAGGAAGGUCGGAAGGGGGAAGUAUAGUGAGGUUUUCGAGGGCAUCCACACCA
Long non-coding RNA from Ipomoea nil (Japanese morning glory), 177 nucleotides. RefSeq lists it as uncharacterized. The record is from RefSeq and is a predicted model, not a curated record. Lineage: Eukaryota; Viridiplantae; Streptophyta; Magnoliopsida; Solanales; Convolvulaceae. The transcript has 2 exons.